Molecule: ribosomal RNA, 279 nt
Filed under: uncultured bacterium
Lineage: Bacteria
Description: partial 16S ribosomal RNA
Rfam family: Bacterial small subunit ribosomal RNA
Source: RNAcentral
UGCCAGCAGCCGCGGUAAUACGAACCGUACGAACGUUAUUCGGAAUCACUGGGCUUAAAGAGUGCGUAGGCGGCUUUGCAAGUUGGGUGUGAAAGCCCUCGGCUCAACCGAGGAAUUGCGCUCAAAACUGCAGGGCUUGAGUGAGAUAGAGGAGAGCGGAACUGAUGGUGGAGCGGUGAAAUGCGUUGAUAUCAUCAGGAACACCAGUGGCGAAAGCGGCUCUCUGGAUCUCUACUGACGCUGAGGCACGAAAGCGUGGGGAGCAAACAGGAUUAGAUA